AGGGUUGUAUUUAAUUAUAAUAUUUGAUUUGCAAACAAAAAGUGCUUAUACAGCCAACCUUA
RNAcentral lists this transfer RNA (62 nucleotides) under Kolla paulula. Its description in RNAcentral is "tRNA-Ala". Lineage: Eukaryota; Metazoa; Arthropoda; Insecta; Hemiptera; Cicadellidae. The record is from RNAcentral.